ACUCCCGCCCGCCUACCUGCAGAGCCCUAGCUCCGUCCCUGCACAUCGGCCGAGAGGAGCCGCAGCGCGCGGUCGGCGGUGCUCGGGGAAGCCUCCCGUUGUCUUUCAGGGCCACCCGGGGAGCUCUCCUGGAUUUUACUGCAGAAAGUACGGUAAAGGGCCAUGUGGAGAGAGAAAAGAGAAACGAAGGAGGUGCUGAUUCACAGGUCUUCUGAUCAAAAAAACCUGCACAGGUGCUGUACUCAAGGAACUACAGCAGACAAGCCUCAUGUGUACCUAGAUCUGAUCUGGACGACAAGAUCCUGGGUUUUGGACUGAUAUUGUAAAGAGGUCACUUGCUCUGGGGGAAGCUGGCUGCCAGGUUAUAAGGGCACUUAAGUAGCCUAAUACAGAGGCCAACACAGUGAGGGACCAGCCAACAGCCAUGUGAGUGACCCAUCUUGGAAGGACAUCACCCAGACUCAGCCAAACCUUUCAGAGACUAAGCCCCUGGCAACAUUUUGACUGCAACCUCUCCAGAGACCCUGGCCAGAACCAUUUAAAGAAGCUGUUCCCAAAUUCUUAACUCACAGAAACUUUGAGACAAUAAACGUUUGUGGUUUUAAAGAG
Equus caballus (horse) is the source of this 609-nucleotide long non-coding RNA. RefSeq lists it as uncharacterized. The record is from RefSeq and is a predicted model, not a curated record. NCBI's taxonomy places the organism in Eukaryota, Metazoa, Chordata, Mammalia, Perissodactyla, Equidae.